RNAcentral lists this long non-coding RNA (178 nucleotides) under Bos indicus x Bos taurus (hybrid cattle). RNAcentral's name for it is "lncRNA (ENSBIXG00005017346.1)". Lineage: Eukaryota; Metazoa; Chordata; Mammalia; Artiodactyla; Bovidae. The record is from RNAcentral.
CUGUAUUCUCCCAGCAAACACUGGGGCCAUGGCGUCUCUCCUCUAAUGACACCUCAUCAAUCCGCUCCUAUCAAUGUCCCAGCCAUGGAGGUGACUUCGAGUGCUCAGAAGCCUUAGAAAAUGUCAACGUUUUGGGAGAAAAGAUUGUGCCUCCAUUGUUUGGACCACUGUCAUGGCG